AGAGUUUGAUCCUGGCUCAGAUUGAACGCUGGCGGCAUGCUUUACACAUGCAAGUCGAACGGCAGCACGGGUGCUUGCACCUGGUGGCGAGUGGCGAACGGGUGAGUAAUGCACCGGAACGUACCCAGUAAUGGGGGAUAACACAUCGAAAGAUGUGCUAAUACCGCAUACGCCCUGAGGGGGAAAGCGGGGGAUCGUAAGACCUCGCGUUAUUGGAGCGGCCGAUGCCGGAUUAGCUAGUUGGUGAGGUAAGAGCUCACCAAGGCGACGAUCCGUAGCUGGUCUGAGAGGACGACCAGCCACACUGGGACUGAGACACGGCCCAGACUCCUACGGGAGGCAGCAGCGGGGAAUUUUGGACAAUGGGCGCAAGCCUGAUCCAGCCAUGCCGCGUGAGUGAAGAAGGCCUUCGGGUUGUAAAGCUCUUUCGCAAGGAAAGAAAACUUAUCUACUAA
This 455-nucleotide ribosomal RNA is filed under the name uncultured bacterium. Its description in RNAcentral is "bacterial SSU rRNA". It matches the Rfam family "Bacterial small subunit ribosomal RNA", at positions 8 to 463 of the family's 1533-position model. The record is from RNAcentral.